GCCCGGAUAGCUCAGUUGGUAGAGCAGGGGAUUGAAAAUCCCCGUGUCGGCAGUUCGAUUCUGUCUCCGGGCACCA
RNAcentral lists this transfer RNA (76 nucleotides) under Haliea salexigens. RNAcentral's name for it is "tRNA-Phe". It matches the Rfam family "tRNA". From Rfam's summary of the family: Transfer RNA (tRNA) molecules are approximately 80 nucleotides in length. Their secondary structure includes four short double-helical elements and three loops (D, anti-codon, and T loops). Further hydrogen bonds mediate the characteristic L-shaped molecular structure. tRNAs have two regions of fundamental functional importance: the anti-codon, which is responsible for specific mRNA codon recognition, and the 3' end, to which the tRNAs corresponding amino acid is attached (by aminoacyl-tRNA synthetases). tRNAs cope with the degeneracy of the genetic code in two manners: having more than one tRNA (with a specific anti-codon) for a particular amino acid; and 'wobble' base-pairing, i.e. permitting non-standard base-pairing at the 3rd anti-codon position. The record is from RNAcentral. RNAcentral also lists the same sequence under 20 other names. Lineage: Bacteria; Pseudomonadati; Pseudomonadota; Gammaproteobacteria; Cellvibrionales; Halieaceae.